Molecule: ribosomal RNA, 497 nt
Filed under: uncultured bacterium
Lineage: Bacteria
Description: partial 16S ribosomal RNA
Rfam family: Bacterial small subunit ribosomal RNA
Source: RNAcentral
GAUGAACGCUGGCGGCGUGCCUAAUACAUGCAAGUCGAGCGAACAGACGAGGAGCUUGCUCCUCUGACGUUAGCGGCGGACGGGUGAGUAACACGUGGAUAACCUACCUAUAAGACUGGGAUAACUUCGGGAAACCGGAGCUAAUACCGGAUAAUAUAUUGAACCGCAUGGUUCAAUAGUGAAAGACGGUUUUGCUGUCACUUAUAGAUGGAUCCGCGCCGCAUUAGCUAGUUGGUAAGGUAACGGCUUACCAAGGCAACGAUGGGUAGCCGACCUGCGAGGGUGAUCGCCCACACGGGAACUGAGACACGGUCCAGAGUCCUACGGGAGGCAGCAGUAGGGAAUCUUCCGCAAUGGGCGGAAGCCUGACGGAGCAACGCCACGUGAGUGAUGAAGGUCUUCGGAGCGUAAAACUCUGUUAUUAGGGGAGAACAAAUGUGUAAGUAACUAUGCACGUCUUGACGGUACCUAAUCAGAAAGCCACGGCUAACUACGUG